Molecule: ribosomal RNA, 497 nt
Filed under: uncultured bacterium
Lineage: Bacteria
Description: partial 16S ribosomal RNA
Rfam family: Bacterial small subunit ribosomal RNA
Source: RNAcentral
GAUGAACGCUGGCGGCGUGCCUAAUACAUGCAAGUCGAGCGAACAGACGAGGAGCUUGCUUUUCUGAUGUUAGCGGCGGACGGGUGAGUAACACGUGGAUAACCUACCUAUAAGACUGGGAUAACUUCGGGAAACCGGAGCUAAUACCGGAUAAUAUUUUGAACCGCAUGGUUCAAUAGUGAAAGACGGUCUUGCUGUCACUUAUAGAUGGAUCCGCGCUGCAUUAGCUAGUUGGUAAGGUAACGGCUUACCAAGGCAACGAUGCAUAGCCGACCUGAGAGGGUGAUCGGCCACACUGGAACUGAGACACGGUCCAGACUCCUACGGGAGGCAGCAGUAGGGAAUCUUCCGCAAUGGGCGAAAGCCUGACGGAGCAACGCCGCGUGAGUGAUGAAGGUCUUCGGAUCGUAAAACUCUGUUAUUAGGGAAGAACAUAUGUGUAAGUAACUGUGCACGUCUUGACGGUACCUAAUCAGAAAGCCACGGCUAACUACGUG